RNAcentral lists this ribosomal RNA (158 nucleotides) under Russula foetens. RNAcentral describes it as "5.8S ribosomal RNA". It matches the Rfam family "5.8S ribosomal RNA". From Rfam's summary of the family: 5.8S ribosomal RNA (5.8S rRNA) is a component of the large subunit of the eukaryotic ribosome. It is transcribed by RNA polymerase I as part of the 45S precursor that also contains 18S and 28S rRNA. Lineage: Eukaryota; Fungi; Basidiomycota; Agaricomycetes; Russulales; Russulaceae. The record is from RNAcentral.
CAACUUUCAACAACGGAUCUCUUGGCUCUCGCAUCGAUGAAGAACGCAGCGAAAUGCGAUACGUAAUGUGAAUUGCAGAAUUCAGUGAAUCAUCGAAUCUUUGAACGCACCUUGCGCCCUUUGGCAUUCCGAGGGGCACACCCGUUUGAGUGUCAUGA